RNAcentral lists this long non-coding RNA (382 nucleotides) under Panax ginseng (ginseng). Its description in RNAcentral is "long non-coding RNA (PGIN_LNC011478)". Lineage: Eukaryota; Viridiplantae; Streptophyta; Magnoliopsida; Apiales; Araliaceae. The record is from RNAcentral.
UCCCUUGUGGCCCUUAGUUCAUCGUCAGACGUCUUCAGGUCCAUCUUGGCUCGAUCUAAGUCUCGCUGAAAGCCAUUGAUGCUGUGAAGAGCGUCUUCGUGAUCAGUUCUUUCUCGAGCCAAGGUCGAUUUCAGCAUAUUGAUUUCUUGUCUCAUGAAAUCUUCCUCGGUUUCCCCAUUUAUGUGUCUUGGACGCAAACGUCCGAAGACAGCAUUGGCCUGCAUAUGUUCAAACAGUACUCAAGUCAAUACCCAAAUAUCCAAGUAAGAACAGAGAUAUAGAAAAUAAAAAAAUGCUUAUUUACCUUAGCCAGAUAGCUCAUCCCUUCAUCGAGCAGAUUCCCGUCUGAGUGAUCACUGAACCGAUGAUCGUCAGCGUUCCG